UCUGCCCUUUGGCCUGGAAUAACACGAGGAAACUUGUGCUAAUACCGGAUAAGUCUUUACGGAGAAAGCUUUAUGCACCAUUGGAUGAGCCUGCACUUGAUUAGUUUGUUGGUGGGGUAAUGGCCUACCAAGACUGUGAUCAAUAGCUGAUUUGAGAGGAUGAUCAGCCACAUUGGGACUGAGACACGGCCCAAACUCCUACGGGAGGCAGCAGUGGGGAAUCUUGCACAAUGGAGGAAACUCUGAUGCAGCGAUGCCGCGUGAGUGAAGAAGGCCUUUGGGUUGUAAAGCUCUUUCGUCGGGGAAGAAAAUGACUGUACCCGAAUAAGAAGGUCCGG
RNAcentral lists this ribosomal RNA (338 nucleotides) under uncultured Pseudomonadota bacterium. Its description in RNAcentral is "bacterial SSU rRNA". It matches the Rfam family "Bacterial small subunit ribosomal RNA", at positions 125 to 496 of the family's 1533-position model. Lineage: Bacteria; Pseudomonadati; Pseudomonadota. The record is from RNAcentral.